Molecule: ribosomal RNA, 243 nt
Filed under: uncultured Clostridia bacterium
Lineage: Bacteria; Bacillati; Bacillota; Clostridia
Description: partial 16S ribosomal RNA
Rfam family: Bacterial small subunit ribosomal RNA
Source: RNAcentral
CUAGCUGUAAACGAUGGGUACUAGGUGUAGGGGUUUCGAUACCUCUGUGCCGGAGUUAACGCAUUAAGUACCCCGCCUGGGGAGUACGUACGCAAGUAUGAAACUCAAAGGAAUUGACGGGGGCCCGCACAAGCGGUGGAGCAUGUGGUUUAAUUCGAAGCAACGCGAAGAACCUUACCAGGGCUUGACAUCCCUUGACAGCCUCAGAGAUGAGGUUUCUCUUCGGAGCAAGGAGACAGGUGG